CCCUUAGAUGUCCUGGGCCGCACGCGCGUUACACUGAUGCAUUCAACGAGCUUAUAACCUUGGCCGAGAGGCCUGGGCAAUCUUGUUAACGUGCAUCGUGAUAGGGAUAGAUUAUUGAAAUUAUUAAUCUUGAACGAGGAAUUCCUAGUAAACGCAGAUCAUCAAUCUGCAUUGAUUACGUCCCUGCCCUUUGUACACACCGCCCGUCGCACCUACCGAUUGGAUGGUCCGGUGAAGCCUCUGGAUUGUGGUUCUUGCCGCUUUAUUGUGGCGUGACCGCGAGAACUUGUCUAAACCUUAUCAUCUAGAGGAAGGUGAAGUCGUAACA
This 328-nucleotide ribosomal RNA is filed under the name uncultured eukaryote. Its description in RNAcentral is "partial 18S ribosomal RNA". It matches the Rfam family "Eukaryotic small subunit ribosomal RNA", at positions 1470 to 1796 of the family's 1831-position model. The record is from RNAcentral.